RNAcentral lists this ribosomal RNA (484 nucleotides) under uncultured bacterium. RNAcentral describes it as "partial 16S ribosomal RNA". It matches the Rfam family "Bacterial small subunit ribosomal RNA", at positions 30 to 507 of the family's 1533-position model. The record is from RNAcentral.
AUUGAACGCUGGCGGCAGGCCUAACACAUGCAAGUCGAGCGGAUGAAGGGAGCUUGCUCCUGGAUUCAGCGGCGGACGGGUGAGUAAUGCCUAGGAAUCUGCCUGGAAGUGGGGGAUAACGUCCGGAAACGGGCGCUAAUACCGCAUACGACCUGAGGGAGAAAGUGGGGGAUCUUCGGACCUCACGCUAUCAGAUGAGCCUAGGUCGGAUUAGCUAGUUGGUGGGGUAAAGGCCUACCAAGGCGACGAUCCGUAACUGGUCUGAGAGGAUGAUCAGUCACACUGGAACUGAGACACGGUCCAGACUCCUACGGGAGGCAGCAGUGGGGAAUAUUGGACGAUGGGCGAGAGCCUGAUCCAGCCCUGCCGCGUGUGUGAAGAAGGUCUUCGGAUUGUAAAGCACUUUAAGUUGGGAGGAAGGGAAGUACGUUAAUACCUUGCUGUUUUGACGUUACCAACAGAAUAAGCACCGGCUAACUUCGUG